This 274-nucleotide long non-coding RNA is filed under the name Bos mutus (wild yak). Its description in RNAcentral is "lncRNA (ENSBMUG00000004588.1)". The record is from RNAcentral. Lineage: Eukaryota; Metazoa; Chordata; Mammalia; Artiodactyla; Bovidae.
UUUUUGAGGCAAGAGAAGUAACACAUGACAUCUUUCUCUCAAAUUAAAAUGUGACUUGUUUGGCCGGUAGGAACGUAGUGGGAGAUGGAAAAGACCGGGAGUCGAAAAGGAAGAGGAGCUUCCCAGAUUAUGAAGAAUGAGGCAUCAGCGUUCUGCAUCAUCAUCCAAUGCAAAGGUAGAGUGGAACAUGACUGAGCACCAUUAUAACCUCACUGGGAUACCACACAGACAGUACUCUACAGGUGCCAGUAUGAAGAUGACUCAACGGAAGUAA